CAGGCGCGAAACCUUUACACUGCACGAGAGUGCGAUAAGGGGACUCCACGUGCGAGGGCAUAUAGUCCUCGCUUUUCUCGACCGUAAGGAGGUCGAGGAAUAAGUGCUGGGCAAGACCGGUGCCAGCCGCCGCGGUAAUACCGGCAGCACGAGUGAUGACCGCUCUUAUUGGGCCUAAAGCGUCCGUAGCUGGCCACGCAAGUCUAUCGGGAAAUCCGCGCGCUCAACGCGCGGGCGUCCGGUGGAAACUGUGUGGCUUGGGACCGGAAGAUCCAGAGGGUACGUCCGGGGUAGGAGUGAAAUCCCGUAAUCCUGGACGGACCACCGGUGGCGAAAGCGCUCUGGAAAGACGGAUCCGACGGUGAGGGACGAAAGCUCGGGUCACGAACCGGAUUAGAUACCCGGGUAGUCCGAGCUGUAAACGAUGUCUGCUAGGUGUGCCACCUAGGCUACGAGCCUGUGGUGUGCCGUAGGGAAGCCGUGAAGCAGACCGCCUGGGAAGUACGUCCGCAAGGAUGAAACUUAAAGGAAUUG
RNAcentral lists this ribosomal RNA (534 nucleotides) under Haloterrigena sp. A26. RNAcentral's name for it is "bacterial SSU rRNA". It matches the Rfam family "Archaeal small subunit ribosomal RNA", at positions 336 to 867 of the family's 1478-position model. The record is from RNAcentral. Lineage: Archaea; Methanobacteriati; Methanobacteriota; Halobacteria; Halobacteriales; Natrialbaceae.